GACGAACGCUGGCGGCGUGCUUAACACAUGCAAGUCGAACGGAAAGGCCCUGCUUUUGUGGGGUGCUCGAGUGGCGAACGGGUGAGUAACACGUGAGUAACCUGCCCUUGACUUUGGGAUAACUUCAGGAAACUGGGGCUAAUACCGGAUAGGAGCUCCUGCUGCAUGGUGGGGGUUGGAAAGUUUCGGCGGUUGGGGAUGGACUCGCGGCUUAUCAGCUUGUUGGUGGGGUAGUGGCUUACCAAGGCUUUGACGGGUAGCCGGCCUGAGAGGGUGACCGGCCACACUGGGACUGAGAUACGGCCCAGACUCCUACGGGAGGCAGCAGUGGGGAAUAUUGUACAAUGGGCGGAAGCCUGAUGCAGCAACGCCGCGUGCGGGAUGACGGCCUUCGGGUUGUAAACCGCUUUCGCCUGUGACGAAGCGUGAGUGACGGUAAUGGGUAAAGAAGCACCGGCUAACUACGUG
This 468-nucleotide ribosomal RNA is filed under the name uncultured bacterium. RNAcentral describes it as "partial 16S ribosomal RNA". It matches the Rfam family "Bacterial small subunit ribosomal RNA", at positions 28 to 507 of the family's 1533-position model. The record is from RNAcentral.